CCGUGAACCUUUACUAUAGCUUGACACUGAACAUUGAGCCUUGAUGUGUAGGAUAGGUGGGAGGCUUUGAAGUGUGGACGCCAGUCUGCAUGGAGCCGACCUUGAAAUACCACCCUUUAAUGUUUGAUGUUCUAACGUGGACCCGUGAUCCGGGUUGCGGACAGUGUCUGGUGGGUAGUUUGACUGGGGCGGUCUCCUCCUAAAGAGUAACGGAGGAGCACGAAGGUUGGCUAAUCCUGGUCGGACAUCAGGAGGUUAGUGCAAUGGCAUAAGCCAGCUUGACUGCGAGCGUGACGGCGCGAGCAGGUGCGAAAGCAGGUCAUAGUGAUCCGGUGGUUCUGAAUGGAAGGGCCAUCGCUCAACGGAUAAAAGGUACUCCGGGGAUAACAGGCUGAUACCGCCCAAGAGUUCAUAUCGACGGCGGUGUUUGGCACCUCGAUGUCGGCUCAUCACAUCCUGGGGCUGAAGUAGGUCCCAAGGGUAUGGCUGUUCGCCAUUUAAAGUGGUACGCGAGCUGGGUUUAGAACGUCGUGAGACAGUUCGGUCCCUAUCUGCCGUGGGCGCUGGAGAACUGAGGGGGGCUGCUCCUAGUACGAGAGGACCGGAGUGGACGCAUCACUGGUGUUCGGGUUGUCAUGCCAAUGGCACUGCCCGGUAGCUAAAUGCGGAAGAGAUAAGUGCUGAAAGCAUCUAAGCACGAAACUUGCCCCGAGAUGAGUUCUCCCUGACCCUUUAAGGGUCCUGAAGGAACGUUGAAGACGACGACGUUGAUAGGCCGGGUGUGUAAGCGCAGCGAUGCGUUGAGCUAACCGGUACUAAUGAACCGUGAGGCUUAACCUUACAACGCCGAAGGUGUUU
RNAcentral lists this ribosomal RNA (858 nucleotides) under Escherichia coli. RNAcentral describes it as "partial 23S ribosomal RNA". It matches the Rfam family "Bacterial large subunit ribosomal RNA", at positions 2091 to 2925 of the family's 2925-position model. Lineage: Bacteria; Pseudomonadati; Pseudomonadota; Gammaproteobacteria; Enterobacterales; Enterobacteriaceae. The record is from RNAcentral.